GGGUGCAGCAGCAAAAAAACCCUCUCAUACUUUUCGCUAAGCUUCCGAGGAAUUAUUUAUGAGAAUUAUUUUAUAAGAGCAGUGGAAUAAAGAGGAAGAGAGGAGUUUUAGUAUGACCGGAAGUAAUUGAACUUUUCAAAGAGA
Caenorhabditis elegans is the source of this 144-nucleotide non-coding RNA. The record is from Ensembl. Lineage: Eukaryota; Metazoa; Nematoda; Chromadorea; Rhabditida; Rhabditidae.